GCACUGCUGAGGAGUCCCAUUUAUAAAACGAAACGGCCGUCCAGUGC
RNAcentral lists this non-coding RNA (47 nucleotides) under Schistosoma margrebowiei. The record is from RNAcentral. Lineage: Eukaryota; Metazoa; Platyhelminthes; Trematoda; Strigeidida; Schistosomatidae.